CGUUGGCACAUAAUGAUUGGUUGUGAUCAAAUGUAAUGCGUGUAGACGAGAGGGAGUAAAAAUACGAAAGGAACCAAUUCGUUUCCCAGACGGAUCAUCUCAACAUCUGCAGAGAUCUCACAUCAGCUGACACCAGUUUUCUCCAGAACAUCACCGACGCUGCCUGAACUGCUGCAGACUCUGAAGCAGCUGUAGGACCAGAGUAUCAGCCUUCACACCAAGUAAACCAGAGAAUCACAACGCCAAGAGAAACACAAGAUGUCUGCUCGUC
Thunnus maccoyii (southern bluefin tuna) is the source of this 271-nucleotide long non-coding RNA. RefSeq lists it as uncharacterized. The record is from RefSeq and is a predicted model, not a curated record. The transcript has 3 exons. NCBI's taxonomy places the organism in Eukaryota, Metazoa, Chordata, Actinopteri, Scombriformes, Scombridae.